Molecule: transfer RNA, 55 nt
Filed under: Haloselinum falcaria
Lineage: Eukaryota; Viridiplantae; Streptophyta; Magnoliopsida; Apiales; Apiaceae
Description: Peucedanum falcaria partial tRNA-His
Source: RNAcentral
GGGGCGGAUGUACCCAAGGGGAUCAAGGCAGGGGAUUGUGAAUCCACCAUGCGCG